This is a non-coding RNA of Macaca mulatta (Rhesus monkey), 2719 nucleotides long. The record is from RefSeq and is a predicted model, not a curated record. Lineage: Eukaryota; Metazoa; Chordata; Mammalia; Primates; Cercopithecidae.
CAUCAAAUAUGACUGCAGCAGAUUUCCUUCAGGCUUUUUUUUUUUAAAUAAAUUUUUGUUGAAGGGAAACACAGAAAGUGCACAAAUGGUAAGACCACAGUCCAACGAACCAUCACAAAGUGAGCACAGCCCUGCACCUAAAUGACUGAACGUUACCAAAGCCCCAGAGAGCUCUCAUGCCCCUCCCGGUCGCUGCUCCUCUCUGGAAGGUGACCACCAUCCUGACUUCUAAUAACAAAGAUGAGUUUGGACUACCUCGAACCUUGAGUCACAAAGAUGAGUUUGGACUACUUCGAACCUUGAGUCACUGGAAUCACAUGAUAAAGAAACUGAGGUAUGGAGUGUUGAAGUAACUUGCCCAAGGUUAUUCACACCACUGGUUGAUCUGUAUUCUCAGACAAGUUUGUCUGAGGAAGGAGCAGCCCACAUGGGAAUCGAAGCCUGAGAGGGAACGGUUGAAAGGGAAACUCUAUCCAGGAGAUGCAGCAUGCAGCUCUGGUAAGCAGUUUAUAAAGGAGGCUUGCUUCCAGCAACUUCAGUGCUGUCAAGUGGAGUCCAAGUAUCCCUCAGAACCCAGGAUCGUCACGGUACCCAGCCAUCAUGACUGCAUGCCUUGCACCGGGCCCUUAUGUUGACCCUCACUCCUGAAAUUGUUACAAGCCCCCAGGUGUCUAUUCCUGGUUUUGAACUGCCUAAAAAAUUGUGCUCACUGAUGGAAAUGCAAAUAGUGACACAAACUGAAGCCUUUGCCUGAAGAAGAGAAAAUAAAUUAAAUAGGAUAACAAAAAAAAAUAGGCAGCAAAAGAAAAAAAAUUUAAUAUCAAAGAAUUGAGAGGGCUUUAGAAAAACUUUUAAAGGCCUCAUAUACUUUGCACAAUAGUCUUAAAAUGUGCAGCUCAAGUGUGAAGUCAAAGACGUCUUAUGCUGCCAUACAAUUAUGCCAAAGAACACACUGAGCUCAUCUUUAUUCAUUCUAGGAAUUAGAAUGUAGCUGCACUUACUAACACCUUAUGUGAAAUAUAACAUAAACAAUGUAUUUUUCACAAUUUUUAGUUUAACUUUUUAUGAUACAGUCUCUAUCAAACAAUUGAUGAUGAGAUUUCCAUCCCAAUAUAACUGAAUUUAUUUUCGGUGGCCUUUUUCCAGUAGGAAUUCUCCUUGAUAUUGUGAAUCGUCUGAACAUCCAAUAUCAACAGGAGGUUGUGUCAAAUUGGUAGAAUUACGGAUGUCUUCUAUUUGCUUCUUGUGCCUUUCUAUCUUUUUCAAAUACUUCUUUAUAAACACAUAAACACUUAUAAUCAGGAAAAAUAAAAAUAAGCAGUAGGCAAGCAAGCAAAUGUUUAAUUUGACUUGCUGAAAAUAAUUAAAUCCACCUGAUUUAAAGCACAGCUGUGGCUGCCCACUUGCUGCUUCCCCUCGAAGCCUCCUCAUCACCGCUGGGACCCAUGAACUCCCACACAGUAAGCGCCUUUGAUGCUCCUAAUGCCAAGCAUCACAUAGGAGGGAGGGAGACAGUUACUGAGGGGUUUAGAACCAGCAGGGCUUUGAUUGUGACAGAGCAACUGGGGUAAACAUGCUCUUCUUCCUUCCCCACCGGCAUUAUUUCUGAAGUCGGGAAAAGCAAACCCUGGGCUGUGUAGGGCCUGGUACAAAUAAUGUUUCGCAGGGUGGCUAUUUACAUAAACAAUUUGAAUCACCCCAAGUCAUUGUGACAGCACCAUUCUUGUGGCUUAAUCUCUCUCUGGGGCACUCUCCUGGAAAACCCCACAAGUUCCAGCCACAGAUACCCCAGAAAAACUCCAGAGAUACAAGUCCUAGAGCUCCUGGGGUAUCUGUAGGCUAGAAUGUAGAGGGUUGGAGAGUUCUCCAAAGGGAAGAAUUGGGAAUGAACCCUUGUAUGUCCCAUAGGGCUUGGGGCACCCCAUCCAGUUGACAUUGCCAGACUUGGCCAAUCCCAGGGAUGGGAGAAGAACUUGGACAUUGUUGAGGAAGAGCCUAGAGUGACAUUAUGCCAUCCAUGUCUGUUUCUCUUUAUCCUUCUCUCUUUCUUCCUCUGCCCAGCACACUAAGUCUCAUGGGGACAAGUCACAGCACAUUUGAGGGAAGCAUCCAAUGCUCACAUCCAAAGCCUUCUUUUGUGUCCUCUAAUUAGUAAAAAAUUUAUGUCCCAGUGUGGAGCCCAGGUGUUUUGAGUCUCUCCACCUCAUGUGGUAUUAUACAAGCUAGAUCAUUCAUUUUUUCUCCCUGUAUUGUUUGAUAGGCAGAUCAUGGCACCCUGCUAUCUAGGUACUGGUCAUCAGUCCCUUGAUUCAAGUGUAUGUGUAACAGCUUUAAUGAGAUAUAAUUCACAUACCAUAUACUUCAUUCCUUUACAGUGCACAAAUUCAGUGGCUUCCAGUGUAUUCACAGAGUUGUGCAACUAUCACCAUAAUCCAUUGUAGAUAAUUUUCAUCACUACAAAAAGAAACCCCAUACCUCCUAGCCUUCGGUUCCCAACCUCCUCCCAUCAGCUCCUGAUAUUGACUGUUUUUCUGUCUUAAUAGAUUAGCCUAUUCUGGACAUUUCAUAGAAAUGCAAUCAUGCAAUGUGUGAUCUUCCGUGACUGGCUUCUUUCACUUAACACAGUGUUUUCAAGGUUCAUCGAUGUUAUCACAUGUAUCAAUACUGCAUUCCCUUUUAUGUGAUAAAAUAAACAUAACAUAAAAUCCACCAUUUUAAA